This 28-nucleotide small RNA is filed under the name Bombyx mori (domestic silkworm). RNAcentral's name for it is "ovarian small RNA-15691". Lineage: Eukaryota; Metazoa; Arthropoda; Insecta; Lepidoptera; Bombycidae. The record is from RNAcentral.
GAGACGGUUGAAACAACUACAGCUGGAA